RNAcentral lists this ribosomal RNA (546 nucleotides) under uncultured cyanobacterium. RNAcentral's name for it is "bacterial SSU rRNA". It matches the Rfam family "Bacterial small subunit ribosomal RNA", at positions 884 to 1432 of the family's 1533-position model. Lineage: Bacteria; Bacillati; Cyanobacteriota. The record is from RNAcentral.
GCACGCAAGUGUGAAACUCAAAGGAAUUGACGGGGGCCCGCACAAGCGGUGGAGUAUGUGGUUUAAUUCGAUGCAACGCGAAGAACCUUACCAGGGUUUGACAUCCUGCGAACCCCUGAGAAAUCGGGGGGUGCCUUCGGGAACGCAGAGACAGGUGGUGCAUGGCUGUCGUCAGCUCGUGUCGUGAGAUGUUGGGUUAAGUCCCGCAACGAGCGCAACCCACGUCGUUAGUUGCCAGCAUUCAGCUGGGCACUCUAGCGAGACCGCCGGUGAUAAACCGGAGGAAGGUGUGGAUGACGUCAAGUCAUCAUGCCCCUUACAUCCUGGGCUACACACGUACUACAAUGCUACGGACAAAGGGCAGCGAACUCGCGAGGGUAAGCAAAUCCCAUAAACCGUGGCUCAGUUCAGAUCGUAGGCUGCAACUCGCCUACGUGAAGGAGGAAUCGCUAGUAAUCGCAGGUCAGCAUACUGCGGUGAAUACGUUCCCGGGCCUUGUACACACCGCCCGUCACACCAUGGAAUUGGCCACGCCCGAAGUCGUAC